RNAcentral lists this RNase P RNA (435 nucleotides) under Planctomycetota bacterium. Its description in RNAcentral is "Planctomycetes bacterium RNase P RNA component class A". It matches the Rfam family "Bacterial RNase P class A". From Rfam's summary of the family: Ribonuclease P (RNase P) is a ubiquitous endoribonuclease, found in archaea, bacteria and eukarya as well as chloroplasts and mitochondria. Its best characterised activity is the generation of mature 5'-ends of tRNAs by cleaving the 5'-leader elements of precursor-tRNAs. Lineage: Bacteria; Pseudomonadati; Planctomycetota. The record is from RNAcentral.
GGAGUGGGCCGGAUGAUCGCUGGCCGGAGAAUAUGUCGAGGUGCUUUCGAGCGCAGCGGCUUUUUUUGGCGGGAGGAAAGUCCGGGCUCCGUAGGGUUCAGUGGUGGGUAACGCCCACCGGCCGCAAGGUCAGGGAAAGUGCCACAGAAAGCAAACCGCCUGCGGGGUCAUUCCCGUCGGUAAGGGUGAAACGGUGAGGUAAGAGCUCACCAGCAGGCCGGGCGACCGGUCUGGCUCGGUAAACCCCACUGGGAGUAAGGCCAAGCAGGAAGAAGUUCGGCCCUUCGGUCCGACGCGAAACGGCCCGUUUCGCACCCACUUCCGGGUCGGCUGCUGGAGGCGUCGGGUAACCGGCGUCCUAGAGAAAUGGUCAUCGCUUUGCGUGCUGUUCAAAGACGCAAAGCACAGAACCCGGCUUACAGGCCCGCUCCAGUC